UUCUUUGGAGCUUGCUUUAAAGGGUCUUAGUGGCGAUUUGGUGAGUAACACGUGAGUUACCUGCCCCGAAGUGGGAGAUAGCCCGGAGAAAUUCGGAUUAAUACCCCAUGUGAUCGUAAGAUUAAAGGCGGCGCAAGCUGUCGCUUCGGGAUGGGCUCGCGGCCUAUCAGCUAGUUGGUGGGGUAAUGGCCCACCAAGGCGAUGACGGGUAGCUGAUCUGAGAGGAUGAUCAGUCACACUGGAACUGAGACACGGUCCAGACACCUACGGGUGGCAGCAGUCGAGAAUCAUUCGCAAUGGGCGAAAGCCUGACGGUGCGCCGCCGCGUGGAGGAUGAAGGCCCUAGGGUCGUAAACUCCUGUCAUCAGGGAGUAAGGGCUUGCGCAGUCACUGGCGCGGGCAUUGAUAGUACCUGAAGAGGCAGGGACGGCAAACUUCGUGCCAGCAGCCGCGGUAAUACGAAGGUCCCAAGCGUUGUUCGGAUUUACUGGGCGUAAAGAGUCUGUAGGCGGCGGGGUAAGUCAGAUGUGAAAUCCCGGGGCUCAACCCCGGAACUGCAUCCGAUACUGCCUUGCUUGA
RNAcentral lists this ribosomal RNA (579 nucleotides) under uncultured bacterium. RNAcentral describes it as "bacterial SSU rRNA". It matches the Rfam family "Bacterial small subunit ribosomal RNA", at positions 69 to 645 of the family's 1533-position model. The record is from RNAcentral.